Molecule: non-coding RNA, 72 nt
Organism: Aedes albopictus (Asian tiger mosquito)
Lineage: Eukaryota; Metazoa; Arthropoda; Insecta; Diptera; Culicidae
Source: Rfam
GCGUCGGUGGUGUAGUGGUAAGCGUGGCUGCCUCUCACCCCAGUCGGUCGGGAUUAAAUUCCCGUCGACGCC